CCGGCCUCCCCCUGCCGCCCGCCGGGCCCCCUCCUUCCUCCGCUCGGGGCUGCCGCCGCCAUCGCCCGGGGCAGCCUCGGCGGCUGAGGGGGAGCCGCUCCAUGGGGUGUUUGGGACUGAGCCGGCGUGGUGCUCAGGGAACAGCCCCGUUCUCCCUCAUCCUAACCGCCUUCGGGGCUCUGCGCUUGUGCCGCCGCAGUCCUGCCCGCGCCCCGAAACGGGCUGCUGGAGUUGGGGGCAGAAGGCAGGGUGUAGGGGGCCACGGGGAGAAGAUGAGGGAAUUAGUGGUCACACAGCCAGCAGCAGGGCUCUUCGGCCGCGUGGGAUGCGGGGAUGGGUGGGGGAAACAGCAAAGGAUUGUAGCUGAGUGGGGUAGAAUCAUGGAGUCAUUAAGGUUGGAAAAGACCUCCAAGAUCAUCUGAUCCAACCAUCCCCAUACCACCAGUGUCACCCCCUAAACCGCGUCCCUAAGCACCACAUCUGACCUUUCAAAAAGAGGGGAAAACUGCAAGGAUGCUCUCGUGACAGAAGCACAAGGAACAAACAGAAAAUGAAGCACCUUAUCAGUUAUAUAUGAGUAAAAGGUGUGUGUUGUUUUCCAUCAUUGAUCAAGUCUUUUCAGCUGUCGUAACUCCGGUGGGAUAGCGGGCAGGUGUUACUGCUACAUCCUGUUUUGUAAACCCUGUUCUCUGGCCAAAAUGAAUAACAAGCCUCUCAAGCAAAACUUUUCGCAGAAGGAAUGUUUGUCACGCUGAGUCAGUUGAGCAUGGUGUUAUCUUUGCAAGAAUAAUGCUCACAGUGAAGCCUGCACCGUGAGCGCUGUUCCGUGUGAAGCACCACCACUCAGACCAGCAUCGUGGCCACUCGAGGAGUUUUGACCUAAUGAAGCACUGUGCAACUCAUAACCGUGCGAAGCCAUAUGAAGCUCUAGGUUCAGUUGCUUUAAAACAGGCUGUUAAGCGCUGGAGAGCUUCAGGAGUACACAGCAACUGAUGAGCAUGGAGCAUCUGUGGCAAAGGAAAAAACACCGUCUUCAAAUUUUGAGGAGCAAACAUGACCCUUUCUGUUUCUACUGCUUCCCACCCACAUUGAGUUAGUGUGAGAGAAGGAGAAAAUCGAGAAAAGCAGAGAUUUUCUUUGCAUGGGAGGACUGAAGAAUGUAUUGUUUUCUCAAUCACAAGCAAGCACUUUCAUCACCAGUUUUGCUCUACAUUCUAAGUGACAGAGAGUUUUUUAUGUUAUACUUGUAUAACUUAAAAGAGGUCAUAUUUGUAAAAGUCCCUAUGCAGAAGUGAGUCUUCUCUUUGGCUGUAUGCAAAUGCUACAGCACACAUGCAGUUUGUAAUUUGCCGAUAGGUAUAAGCAUAUGCAAAAUGGAGAUUAAAUGUGUAUAUGCAAGUUUGCAAAAUUAAUCAACCACGAAUGUACAGAACUACAAAUGCUUUCUGAAAUUUGGCUCCAAAAAGAUUUGUGAAUUAGCCUCCUAUAGAAACUUUCACUCAUGGAUGCCAAAUAUAUUCCAUUUUUAUUAUCAAUUAAUAAUUUAUAAGG
Long non-coding RNA from Cygnus olor (mute swan), 1551 nucleotides. RefSeq lists it as uncharacterized. NCBI's taxonomy places the organism in Eukaryota, Metazoa, Chordata, Aves, Anseriformes, Anatidae. The transcript is spliced from 3 exons. The record is from RefSeq and is a predicted model, not a curated record.